This 513-nucleotide ribosomal RNA is filed under the name uncultured bacterium. Its description in RNAcentral is "partial 16S ribosomal RNA". It matches the Rfam family "Bacterial small subunit ribosomal RNA", at positions 28 to 523 of the family's 1533-position model. The record is from RNAcentral.
GAUGAACGCCGGCGGCGUGCCUAAUACAUGCAAGCCGAGCGAACAGACGAGGAGCUUGCUCCUUUGACGUUAGCGGCGGACGGGUGAGUAACACGUGGGUAACCUACCUAUAAGACUGGGAUAACUUCGGGAAACCGGAGCUAAUACCGGAUAAUAUUUCGAACCGCAUGGUUCGAUAGUGAAAGAUGGCUUUGCUAUCACUUAUAGAUGGACCUGCGCCGUAUUAGCUAGUUGGUAAGGUAACGGCUUACCAAGGCAACGAUACGUAGCCGACCUGAGAGGGUGAUCGGCCACACUGGAACUGAGACACGGUCCAGACUCCUACGGGAGGCAGCAGUAGGGAAUCUUCCGCAAUGGGCGAAAGCCUGACGGAGCAACGCCGCGUGAGUGAUGAAGGUCUUCGGGUCGUAAAACUCUGUUAUUAGGGAAGAACAAACGUGUAAGUAACUGUGCACGUCUUGACGGUACCUAAUCAGAAAGCCACGGCUAACUACGUGCCAGCCGCCGCGGUAA